Molecule: ribosomal RNA, 430 nt
Filed under: Bacteroidota bacterium
Lineage: Bacteria; Pseudomonadati; Bacteroidota
Description: Bacteroidetes bacterium partial 16S ribosomal RNA
Rfam family: Bacterial small subunit ribosomal RNA
Source: RNAcentral
UAGGGAAUCUUCCGCAAUGGACGCAAGUCUGACGGAGCAACGCCGCGUGAGUGAAGAAGGUUUUCGGAUCGUAAAGCUCUGUUGUUAAGGAAGAACGAGUGUGAGAAUGGAAAGUUCAUGCUGUGACGGUACUUAACCAGAAAGGGACGGCUAACUACGUGCCAGCAGCCGCGGUAAUACGUAGGUCCCGAGCGUUGUCCGGAUUUAUUGGGCGUAAAGCGAGCGCAGGCGGUCAAUUAAGUCUGAUGUGAAAGCCCCCGGCUCAACCGGGGAGGGUCAUUGGAAACUGGUUGACUUGAGUGCAGAAGAGGAGAGUGGAAUUCCAUGUGUAGCGGUGAAAUGCGUAGAUAUAUGGAGGAACACCAGUGGCGAAGGCGACUCUCUGGUCUGUAACUGACGCUGAGGUUCGAAAGCGUGGGUAGCAAACAGG